CAACCUACCUAUCAGAGGGGAAUAACCCGGCGAAAGUCGGACUAAUACCGCAUAAAACAGGGGCACCGCAUGGUGAUAUUUGUUAAAGAAAUUCGCUGAUAGAUGGGCAUGCGUUCCAUUAGGUAGUUGGUGAGGUAACGGCUCACCAAGCCGACGAUGGAUAGGGGAACUGAGAGGUUGGUCCCCCACACUGGUACUGAGACACGGACCAGACUCCUACGGGAGGCAGCAGUGAGGAAUAUUGGUCAAUGGGCGGGAGCCUGAACCAGCCAAGUCGCGUGAAGGAAGAAGGAUCUAUGGUUCGUAAACUUCUUUUGCAGGGGAAUAAAGUGCAGGACGUGUCCUGUUUUGUAUGUACCCUGAGAAUAAGGAUCGGCUAACUCCGUGCCAGCAGCCGCGGUAAUACGGAGGAUCCGAGCGUUAUCCGGAUUUAUUGGGUUUAAAGGGUGCGUAGGUGGUUUGAUAAGUCAGCGGUGAAAGUUUGCAGCUUAACUGUAAAAAUGCCGUUGAAACUGUCGGACUUGAGUGUAAAUGGGGUAGGCGGAAUGCGUGGUGUAGCGGUGAAAUGCAUAGAUAUCACGAAGAACUCCGAUUG
RNAcentral lists this ribosomal RNA (595 nucleotides) under uncultured Bacteroidota bacterium. RNAcentral describes it as "bacterial SSU rRNA". It matches the Rfam family "Bacterial small subunit ribosomal RNA", at positions 122 to 715 of the family's 1533-position model. Lineage: Bacteria; Pseudomonadati; Bacteroidota. The record is from RNAcentral.